UACGUAGGGUGCAAGCGUUAAUCGGAAUUACUGGGCGUAAAGCGUGCGCAGGCGGUUGUGCAAGACCGAUGUGAAAUCCCCGGGCUUAACCUGGGAAUGGCAUUGGUGACUGCACGGCUAGAGUGUGUCAGAGGGGGGUAGAAUUCCACGUGUAGCAGUGAAAUGCGUAGAGAUGUGGAGGAAUACCGAUGGCGAAGGCAGCCCCCUGGGAUAACGACUGACGCUCAUGCACGAAAGCGUGGGGAGCAAACAGG
Molecule: ribosomal RNA, 254 nt
Filed under: uncultured bacterium
Lineage: Bacteria
Description: partial 16S ribosomal RNA
Rfam family: Bacterial small subunit ribosomal RNA
Source: RNAcentral